Molecule: ribosomal RNA, 541 nt
Filed under: bacterium PD100
Lineage: Bacteria
Description: bacterial SSU rRNA
Rfam family: Bacterial small subunit ribosomal RNA
Source: RNAcentral
GGAUUAGCUUGCUAAUCGCUGACGAGUGGCGGACGGGUGAGUAAUGCUUGGGAACUUGCCUUCGGGAGGGGGAUAACAGUUGGAAACGACUGCUAAUACCGCAUAACGUCUACGGACCAAAGGGGGCUUUUAGCUCCUACCUGAAGAGAGGCCCAAGUGAGAUUAGCUAGUUGGUAAGGUAAAGGCUUACCAAGGCGACGAUCUCUAGCUGUUCUGAGAGGAAGAUCAGCCACACUGGGACUGAGACACGGCCCAAACUCCUACGGGAGGCAGCAGUGGGGAAUAUUGCACAAUGGGGGAAACCCUGAUGCAGCCAUGCCGCGUGUGUGAAGAAGGCCUUCGGGUUGUAAAGCACUUUCAGUUGUGAGGAAAGGUUGGUAGUUAAUACCUGCCAGCUGUGACGUUAACAACAGAAGAAGCACCGGCUAACUCCGUGCCAGCAGCCGCGGUAAUACGGAGGGUGCGAGCGUUAAUCGGAAUUACUGGGCGUAAAGCGCACGCAGGCGGUUUGUUAAGCUAGAUGUGAAAGCCCCGGGCUCAA